UACGUAGGGGGCAAGCGUUAUCCGGAUUUACUGGGUGUAAAGGGUGCGUAGGUGGUAUGGUAAGUCAGAUGUGAAAACUUGAAGCUCAACUUCAAGAUUGCAUCUGAAACUGCUAAACUAGAGUAUAGGAGAGGAAAGUGGAAUUCCGAGUGUAGCGGUGAAAUGCGUAGAGAUUCGGAGGAACACCAGUAGCGAAGGCGACUUUCUGGACUAUUACUGACACUGAGGCACGAAAGCGUGGGGAGCGAACAGG
RNAcentral lists this ribosomal RNA (253 nucleotides) under uncultured bacterium. RNAcentral's name for it is "partial 16S ribosomal RNA". It matches the Rfam family "Bacterial small subunit ribosomal RNA", at positions 524 to 776 of the family's 1533-position model. The record is from RNAcentral.